Molecule: ribosomal RNA, 468 nt
Filed under: uncultured bacterium
Lineage: Bacteria
Description: partial 16S ribosomal RNA
Rfam family: Bacterial small subunit ribosomal RNA
Source: RNAcentral
GACGAACGCUGGCGGCGUGCUUAACACAUGCAAGUCGAACGGAAAUGCCCUGCUUUUGUGGGGUGCUCGAGUGGCGAACGGGUGAGUAACACGUGAGUAACCUGCCCUUGACUUUGGGAUAACUUCAGGAAACUGGGGCUAAUACCGGAUAGGAGCUCCUGCUGCAUGGUGGGGGUUGGAAAGUUUCGGCGGUUGGGGUUGGACUCCCGGCUUAUCAGCUUGUUGGUGGGGUAGUGGCUUACCAAGGCUUUGACGGGUAGCCGGCCGGGGAGGGUGACAGGCCACAUUGGGACUGAGAUAGGGCCCAGACUCCUACGGGAGGCAGAAGUGAGGAAUAUUGCACAAUGGGCGGAAGCCUGAUGCAGCAACGCCGCGUGCGGGAUGACGGCCUUCGGGUUGUAAACCGCUUUCGCAUGUGACGAAGCGUGAGUGACGGUAAUGGGUAAAGAAGCACCGGAUAACUACGUG